UCGCUGUGAAUCUCUGGCAGACCCAAACGACAGGUUCAGAUACAGUGAGAUUUCCUUCAUGGCAAAUCUAAGCUCCACCCCCGGAGCGCCGCUAUGCAGGCCACACUCAGAGAAAUAGAGAAGACAAUCGCGGAACAAGCGUGUGUGUUAGCAAAUUGCAUAUCUCGUAAGAAAGCUAAUUAUGAAAUUUGCUUUCAUCAUGUCCCUAAAGACGUAAGUGUCCAAGAGUUGAAUAGCUCCUAUGUUACCUGUUACUUCUACUAAACAUGCAAUGUUAGGCUACAAGCUAACACCUCAAGACUCAAAGUCGAAUUGCUAUUGAGCUACUGGAGCUCUGCAGAAGAAAAGACCUUGAAAAUGACACGAGGUAACGUGAUUUUUGGCUGAAAACUUCAUAAUAAAAUGGAAUAAAAUAAUAAAACUUUAAAGAGUCGAGACUGGGAGGGGGGUCGAGCUGCUGCCUGCCAAAAUCCACACUCAAAACCAUUCAUUCAAAGCAAGGAAACACACCAGCUUAAGCUAUCCUUAUCUUUGUCUCCUACACGUUUCCUAAUUUGCGUCUGAAAUAUUCAUGCUAUGUUUUCAACUGAAGCGCAACUGCUUCCAUAACUGGUGAUUUAUGUGACAUGACGUUCCUCCAACACACUGAGUCUGACUUAUAUCCAUUUUUUAUGGCUAUGUAUGCACAUCUGUACAUUUAUGCAUAUUCCACUCACAAAAACUACAGGAUUAAUGAUCAUGAAAUCAGGGUGAUUACAUCUAGAAAAUCCCAUGAUACUCUUUAGUGCCAAUUAUGAAUGAUAGCUUAUUGAAAUUGGUGCCAUUUGCGAGGCUGUUUAUCCUCAGUUUUGUUUGUGGGGUUCAUUCAGGUUCAAAGUUUUCGUGACCUGUCGUCGUGCCACUUCAGGGGUCUUGGCAGUCAAGGAGACGGAGGAGUCAAAGUAAAUCUAAUUUUGUGUCUCUGUGAAAACAGCUAAGCAGGUUUGACUUGCAUGCCCUCUUAGCCGUGGUUAUCCUCUCAGCUGCCAUAGGAACAACUGAAUAAAUGAGUCUGAAGGCAACAGUUUGGUGUCGGUCCAUUUUCUGCUGCUUGUACUUGUGUAAAACAUUGAUUUCAAGGUGAAGUCUUUGUGACCCUACCAAUUGGUGAACACUUUGAUUUAGUACCCUGUUGCCCUCCACCAUUUUCCCUAUAACAAUUAACCUGCUACAGAGUGGCCAUAUGACUAAUAGAAAAACAGAGUCAGGUAAUACAAAACAGUCACACAAACACUUUCCCUUUCAGUUUGCAUGUCUUUUUACAUCAAUCAUACAUGAAUAUUAUCACUCUAACCCUGGAUGCUAUGUUUUGUGUGUUUAGAAGAAAGGCGGGCCUGUCAGGGACAAUAUUUAUUGUGUACGAUGUGCGGUGCUCAUGUCUCAGACGUCGUCUCUAAGGCUUAAUGUAAACGUGUAUGUACGUUGCUUCACCGUUUAGUGACACUCCUGAAACACAGCUCGUAGAAACAAGGGGGGAAGUGGUGAUUUAAAAGAUAAAAUCAUACAAAAAUAUCUACAAAUGGAAGAGUAAGAUUUCUCUCUCUCUAUCUAUCUAUCUAUCUAUCUAUCUUGUCUACAUGUUAAUAUGGCAUUUUUCUGAUGCUAGAGAACAUAUGAGAAAAAUAAGUGCAAACUUACAUUUCUGAGUAUUUCGCUGUGGUUCUCUAACAAACCCAAACGACAGGUUCAACUACAGUGAGAUUUCCUAUGUCACAAAUCCAAGCUCCGCCCCCCAGCUCCACUAUGCAGGCCACACUUGGAGAAAUAAAGAGGACGAUCGCAGAAUAAGCGUGUGCAUUGGCGGAUUGCAAUGUUCAUAGGACAGCUAAUUAUGAUGUUAGCUUUCAUCAUGCCCAGAAAUACAUUAGCUUCCAGGAGCUGAAUAACUCCAAUGUUACCUGCUACUUCUACUACACCGGCGAUGUUAGGCUGCAAGCUUGCGUGAAGAGGAGUGUGCAGAGCAGUGCUGUCUCCGCCAACGACUCAGAGGUGAAUUACUAAUGAGCUACUGGAGCUCUGCAGAAGAAAAACACUUGAAAAUGACACAGGUAACAUGAUAUUGGCUAAAAACUUCAUAAUCACAAUUUAAAAACCACUGAUAACACUUUAAAUUGUUUUUUAAAAAAUGAUCGGAGCAGGACUUUAAAGAUUUAAAGUAAGUGCCCCCUUACCCUAAUCAUAACACCUUCUGCCCUUACCUCAACCCUAACAUACCUGAUUGGAUCCUGAAUAUCAAGUUAUCAAUUAGUGCCCAGAGCUUCUGUGUAAAAGUUGUUUGGGCUGCAGUUCUUGUGUUUUCACCCAGGAGACUAGCAGGCAUUCAUUCGUUGCAGAAAGGAUGAGAAACUCUGGUAUUGGAAAUCUCUUUUUAUUAUUUCAACCUUUUAUUUCCAAACCAUUUUUUUCCCCAACAAAUGACUGCGGCCCUUUAAAAACGGCUUUUCAACUAAAAAGAAGCGCUCUGGGUCAUUCCAGUCCAGAUCCUUAAUCUAUGUUUUGUCUGCUUUGCUGAUGUUUUGUCACCUUUCCUCGAACCACACCAGUUUUCAGUUGUUUGUCUCUGCUAGGGUCCAUUUCCUGAUUUCUAGGCUACACCAUCUGUGUUAAGACCUGUGUCCAGCUGUUGUUUGUGUUUCCCCUUUUCCAAGAAAUACUUAUUAUGCUUGUGCUCCUCUUCUGACUUGGAAGGUUACGUACAUCCAACCCUAAUGCCAAAUGCCAUACCAAGGU
This 2769-nucleotide long non-coding RNA is filed under the name Xyrichtys novacula (pearly razorfish). Lineage: Eukaryota; Metazoa; Chordata; Actinopteri; Labriformes; Labridae. The record is from RNAcentral.